RNAcentral lists this ribosomal RNA (257 nucleotides) under uncultured prokaryote. RNAcentral's name for it is "partial 16S ribosomal RNA". It matches the Rfam family "Bacterial small subunit ribosomal RNA", at positions 524 to 780 of the family's 1533-position model. The record is from RNAcentral.
UACGGAGGAUGCGAGCGUUAUCCGGAUUUAUUGGGUUUAAAGGGUGCGUAGGCGGCCGAGUAAGUCAGCGGUGAAAUUUUGCAGCUUAACUGUAACAGUGCCGUUGAUACUGCAUGGCUAGGAUUUGGUUGCUGUGGGUGGAAUGUGUGGUGUAGCGGUGAAAUGCUUAGAGAUCACACAGAACACCGAUUGCGAAGGCAUCUCACAAAGCCGUUAUUGACGCUGAGGCACGAAAGUGUGGGGAUCAAACAGGAUUA